This 1175-nucleotide ribosomal RNA is filed under the name Cerithium echinatum. Its description in RNAcentral is "partial 16S ribosomal RNA". It matches the Rfam family "Bacterial large subunit ribosomal RNA", at positions 449 to 2562 of the family's 2925-position model. Lineage: Eukaryota; Metazoa; Mollusca; Gastropoda; Cerithiidae. The record is from RNAcentral.
AAGCGCAUUAAUUUAACCAAACUAACCUUAGAAACAUCUUGAGGCUGAGUAACGGUGAGAGAAUAGCAACAGUUUUUGAUAAGUACCGAGAGGGAAAAAGUAACUUUCUAAAAAAUAGUUGGAAAAAACGUACUUUUUGCAUCACGGCCUGGCAAGAGAACUUCUAAUAUUUAGAUAUCUCGAAGACUGACGAGCUACCUUUCUUUGGCAUUUUAGGGCCUGAGUUUUUAGCUGUAAAUGUAGCAAAAUUUUAGUAAAAAUGAAAGGUAGCUACGAGAUGUUACUCGCGUCGGCGAUAGCUAGUUCUUCUGGAAAAACAUAUAAGUGUUGAAGAAAAUUUAGGAGCCAAAAAAGUCCUUCAAGCUCUUGUUUUAUCUUUAAUAUUUUCGAGGAUAAGCUUGAAAAUAUUGGGAAUAGCAUUUUAUAAAUAAGUUUCUUGAUGUAGGCCUGAAACCAGCCAACACACAUGAUUCUGUUAUAAGUCAAUACUAAAAAUCAAAAAAUUCUUCUAUCAGAGUUUCCCACCUAAAGAAGUAAAGGCUUCAACCGUGAAGCUUUACACAUAUGCUAGGAUGAGUAUUAAACAUUCGUUUUAUGAACACAGCAAAUAUGGUGUCCAUUAGAAAUAUAAAAAUUCAAUAAAAAAUGAGAGAAAGGAACUCGGCAAAAAAGUGCUUCGCCUGUUUACCAAAAACAUGGCUCCUUGAAGACUACACAUAAGGAGUCGGACCUGCCCAGUGAAAUAAUUUUAACGGCCGCGGUACUCUGACCGUGCAAAGGUAGCAUAAUCACUUGCCUUAUAAUUGAAGGCUGGUAUGAAUGGUUUGACGAAAGCACUUCUGUCUCUCUCUCAAUUUAUAAAAAUUAACUUUCAGGUGAAGAGGCCUGCUUAAAAUUGAAGGACGAGAAGACCCUGUCGAGCUUAAAGAGAAUGAGGAAAACUUUAUAUUUAGUAAAUAUAAGACCUCUUUUAUCUUUUAGUUGGGGCGACUAGGGAACAACUAAAGCUUCCCCUAUAUAUAAAAAUUUAUUUGUAAGGAUCCAGCAGCCUAAGAUUGCUGAUUGAAAGAAUUAGUUACCGCAGGGAUAACAGCAUAAUCUCUCUUGAGAGACCUUAUCGAAAGAGGGGGUUGUGACCUCGAUGUUGGACUAGGAUUUCCUAAGGGUGCAGAAGU